CCCAGGCAACUGACCCCAGCGUGCAGUCGAUGCCUUCUCCUAGUCCCACUCACCGUAUGAUAAAAUCCCGUCAACUUGAUCCAAAGAAAAAAUGACCUACAUAACAAUGACAGCAUGAAUAACAAUUAAUCCUCCAUUGAAAUGUUCAAAAGCUAGAAUUGUGGUAAAGCCAAGAUUCCCAGGGAGUGUCAGGAACUGCUCUCUUGAUUCUAAGCUUGAAGCAGGUAAAGAAAAGGUUGUCUGGGACUAGGGCUUUCGGGGAUAGGACCCAAAUCCCAAGGCAAAGGGAGUCAGAAGCGAGUAAGAAAAGCAAACAGCUCCUACCUACCCAGUGCCAAAGAAACGCAGACACCAGUUCUGUGUCGGUUCUGCUUGAAAAGGUCUGAGAAGAAUAAUUUGGUAGAUGAAUCAUUGAAGAAUAAUUUUGCAGACAGCUCCAUCAAGCCAAAUGCCCAGCGUGAGGGCUGUGUGUAUAAUACUGUCAUAACCUUUGAAGAUAGAUUCUGUUCAUCAACACGGCUGUUUACAUAAUCACUUGGUCACCUCACCAAAUGGAUUAAUCUUUUUGGUCACAUUCCUUAUCAGUGCAUGGAGAGGCUAAUUGUUGGUGGCCCAAUGUGUCCCAUAAACGGAUCCCAUGAGAAUAAGCUUGCAGCAACAGAUGAUGAAGGGAACUGAGAUACAGACGAAAGCACAGCGGCCUGGGAGACAGGAGACGAGGCUCCGCCUGGACCUUGACGACGACCUUCCUUAAAACUAUGGACUCGUCAUCUGACCUCUCAAGGCCUCCAUUUCCCCAUCUGUAAAACCGAAAGCCCCUCAGCAAUCUGGGGCUAUCAUCUGAAAAGUGUGGGCAGCUGCGGGCGCUCAUACCUCAAGCCCCAAGAGUUUCUUCUUCUAACAGUAACAUACUUUGCACAUGACCCAGCAAUCCCACUCCUGGGUAUUUACCUGAUAAAUGAAAACCCAUGUUUGCCGGGCAUGGUGGCUCAUGCAUGUAAUCCCAGCACUUUGGGAGGCCAAGGUGGGCGGAUCACUUGAAGUCAAAAGUUCAAGACCAGCCUGGAAAACAUGGUGAAACCCCAUCUCUACUAAAACUACAAAAAUUGGUGGGGUGUGGAGGCACAUGCCUGUAGUUCCAGCUACUCGGGAAACUGAGGCAGAAGGAUUGCUUGAACCCAGGAAUUGGAGGUUACAAGUGAGCCAAGAUUGCGCCAUUGCACUCCAGUGCAGAGCAAAAGUCUGUCAAAAAAAAAAAAAAAAGAAGAAGAAAAAGAAAAAAGGAAUGAAAGGAAAGAAAAGGAAGGAAGGAAGGAAGGACCAUUAAGAAGGUACCUGUACCCAAAUUUGCAGAGCAGCUUUAUUUUUAUUUAUCACCGCCCCAGACUGGAGUCAACCCACACGUCCUCAGCGUGUGAAUGAAUAGACCAACCGCAGCACCUCGUACAGUGGAGUGCUACUAAGGAGCGAAUAUGGAUUCACACAGCAACACGGGUGCAUCCCAAAAGCAUGCUGCUACACGGAUGCAAGGCCUUCGGACUAUAUGAUCCCAUUUAGGAGACAAUUGGGAAAAGGGAAAAUCCAGGGGUGAAGAAUAGAUCUGUGGUGGCAGGGGUGGGAAAAGCGGGGAGGAUUUGCCUACUGAGGGGCAGCACAAGAGAAUUUUGCGGGGCGAUGGAUCUGUCUGUAUCUUGACCAUAGUGAUGAUACAUGACUGUGCAUUUGUCAGAACUCACAGGACUGAAUGAAAAGAGAAGUGAAUUUUACUGCAUGUGAAUUGUUAAAAUAAAUGCUAGACAGUAUUUUAAAAAUCAAGCCCAGAUCCUGCAAGACAUUAUGGCUCCCCACCAGAAGGGGAGAGACGGGGAAAGAGAAGUGUCCCCAAAGUUAACCCACGUUCCCUGGGACCCACCUCCCUCCCCACUGCCACUUCCCACCAGCCUCACGCACGGGCCAGGCCCUUCCCUUUGCAGCUCACAGCCCAGCAGAUGUUAGGUCAGAAUGCGUCCCCUCACUUGACUAAAGGUUUACAGCCAGCAGGGUGGAAAUGAACCAGAUAUUAACACCCCCUCCUCCAUGCCCUGCCCACCUUCUGGCCAGUACCAGUGAAGCAGAAGCCACUCUCCCACCCCCAGGCUGUCCCAAAGCCCUGAAGACCCAAGAAAGCAGAGCCAAGUGGAGUGACCCUGAUACCAGGGCCAGCUGCCCAGUCCCCUGUAGCUGGGGAGGACCCCCUCUUCUUGUGAGGCAGACACUGGGAGUGACCCCUCCCUGCAAGGGAGAUUUCUCAUCCCCCAGGGUUCCCAGAGGGUUCCCAGAGGAAAUACAGGAUACCCAAUACAUUUGAAUUUCAGAUAAAAAAUAAAUAACGUUCUGAUACAAGUCUGUCCUGUGCAAUAUUUGUAUGUGUUUUUAUUUGCUAAAUCUGGCAACUCUGUCCCCACCCACAGGGGCAUGCCUAUGGUCACCACACCAGAAGGUAAUCCAUUACAUCUCAGUAACUGUAGAUCCAUACACCCAGAUAAUUUGCUUCUUGGCUCAUCUCCUGGGAAUUAGAGAACUGGGUCUGUUAGCCAAACUCUCAAGACACCUGCCCCAAAACAACCUGGGGUGCUGAGGAAGGGGCACAAAAGGCAAACAGCAUGCCCUCUCCAACUCCCACCCCUACCACAAUCUGAGCUUAGAAGCCAGAUGUGGGUGGCGUGGGAGGGAAAGGCACACCAGCCUGAG
Molecule: long non-coding RNA, 2730 nt
Filed under: Homo sapiens (human)
Lineage: Eukaryota; Metazoa; Chordata; Mammalia; Primates; Hominidae
Description: HSALNT0136029
Source: RNAcentral